Long non-coding RNA from Salvia hispanica, 1037 nucleotides. RefSeq lists it as uncharacterized. The record is from RefSeq and is a predicted model, not a curated record. Lineage: Eukaryota; Viridiplantae; Streptophyta; Magnoliopsida; Lamiales; Lamiaceae.
CAUUCACCACACAAAUACACAACCAUGAUUUUUCAACUAUAAAACCUGAUCACUAGAAUUUCUUGAAAAAAAAAAUCUCAAUCAAGAAAAUGAUGACUUAUUGGUGGUGAAGUCCAUCGGGGGCAACAUGAGAACAUAUAAUUGAUGCAUCGUCAACUUACAUGUUCUCAGGUCGCCCCUGCAGGAUUUCCAUCCACUCAUUCUCGAGAUCACCAGGCGCCCAGUCCAUUUUCUCCGUGCUAACCUCGGCUUCUCUUUUACCAUUACUCUCCUUGCUGCUAACUUCUUUGAUUCCCGACACUGUAACGACUUCCCCGUGACUCUCAACGCGGUCAAGGGCCGGAAGCUUACCUGAAAAACCGAUCGUAUGGGACAGCAUCCCAAUGGGACACGGAGUCCAUGAUUUGGCAACACUCCAUCUCCUCUUGGUUCCGACCUUACCAAGAUCCGGUUGUUCGUGUCUCCUCAGCAUCCGUUGUUCUUUGAUUGACUCGAGCUUCUCUCUGGCUUCAAGUAUGGAGUACUCUUGUUGAGAAAGAAAGGUGUGAUCUUCAAGGCUGGUGGAGUUUGCUUCUAAAACCGCCGGCUGCUCUAGUAAAGCAAGCUUCUUGAGUUUCUGGAUUAGGGAGCUCCCUCCGGCCAGUUGUGCUAGGGUGACGGCUGAAGCUGCGAGCUGCUUGUUACUGGGCAUGGAGGCCAAGAGGCAUCUCUGCAAUAAUCCUAAAACGGUUGCUCUUGGGAGAUUUUUCUCCCUCUUGGAGGCUUUGGUUUCUGCAGAUUCCUUUGAACCAGCAGGUUUCAGUGUCUUCAGAUUUUCAACGAGCCAUUCAAAUAAAUACGAAAGCAGUUCAGAUCGACGAGAUUUUGCAGAGUCCACAGGAGAUUGAUGGUCACCUAAUGAAGAUACACAACAGAUUAGUUCUAUGGUGAAUGAAUGUACAUAUAAUAGUAUUAUUUGGUGAAUGGAUAUAUGUAAACGUAAAUCUACUUUGAGAUGCACGAGAAAAAUUCAACACGGUUGUAUUACCUGUUUCACA